GCAACCCCUCGAGAGUGGCGAACGGGUGAGUAAUAUAUCGGAACGUGCCCAGUCGUGGGGGAUAACGUAGCGAAAGUUACGCUAAUACCGCAUACGAUCUACGGAUGAAAGCGGGGGAUCGCAAGACCUCGCGCGAUUGGAGCGGCCGAUAUCAGAUUAGGUAGUUGGUGGGGUAAAGGCUCACCAAGCCAACGAUCUGUAGCUGGUCUGAGAGGACGACCAGCCACACUGGAACUGAGACACGGUCCAGACUCCUACGGGAGGCAGCAGUGGGGAAUUUUGGACAAUGGACGCAAGUCUGAUCCAGCCAUUCCGCGUGCAGGAUGAAGGCCCUCGGGUUGUAAACUGCUUUUGUACGGAACGAAAAGGUUUCUAUUAAUACUAGGAGCUCAUGACGGUACCGUAAGAAUAAGCACCGGCUAACUACGUGCCAGCAGCCGCGGUAAUACGUAGGGUGCAAGCGUUAAUCGGAAUUACUGGGCGUAAAGCGUGCGCAGGCGGUUAUAUAAGACAGAUGUGAAAUCCCCGGGCUCAACCUGGGAACUGCAUUUGUGACUGUAUAGCUAGAGUACGGUAGAGGGGGAUGGAAUUCCGCGUGUAGCAGUGAAAUGCGUAGAUAUGCGGAGGAACACCGAUGGCGAAGGCAAUCCCCUGGACCUGUACUGACGCUCAUGCACGAAAGCGUGGGGAGCAAACAGGA
This 700-nucleotide ribosomal RNA is filed under the name uncultured beta proteobacterium. Its description in RNAcentral is "bacterial SSU rRNA". It matches the Rfam family "Bacterial small subunit ribosomal RNA", at positions 79 to 777 of the family's 1533-position model. Lineage: Bacteria; Pseudomonadati; Pseudomonadota; Betaproteobacteria. The record is from RNAcentral.